Long non-coding RNA from Anguilla rostrata (American eel), 2303 nucleotides. RefSeq lists it as uncharacterized. The transcript has 2 exons. The record is from RefSeq and is a predicted model, not a curated record. Lineage: Eukaryota; Metazoa; Chordata; Actinopteri; Anguilliformes; Anguillidae.
AAAAGCGAUCUGACAAGCGAGGGACCAAUGAAACGGGACCUUACCCCCGAGGAGGUCAGUCAAGGGGGCGACUACAGCAGAGAAAUUUGGGCAAAACCCACGAUAAUAACCAGUCAUUCCCAAAAAUCUCAUCACUUCCUUCUUACUAGUUGGAGCAGGAAAACGGUCAAUAGCCUCGACUUUGGCGCGCACGGGCCGGACCUCACCACGGCCAACCACCUUGCCCAGGUAUGUGACCGUGGCUUGUCCAAACUCACAUUUAGCCAGGUUAACAGUAAGGUUUGCAUCUACUAGACGAGCAAACAAGGCUCUGAUCCGCGCCAGAUGUUGAGGCCAAGUGUCACUGAACACAAUGACAUCAUCUAGAUACGCAGCGCACCCCUCGAGACCAGACAGCACGCAGUUCAUUAACCGCUGAACAGUUGCGGGGGUGUUACGCAUACCAAAAGCCAUGACGGAAUAAGAGUAUAAACCCUGUGGGGUUACAAACGCAGAAAUCUCUUUCGCUCUCUGCGUCAACGGGACUUGCCAGUAACCCUUGAGGAGGUCAAAUUUACUGACAAAUUGUGCCGAACCAACCUGGUCUAUGCAGUCCUCCAUUCUCGGGAGAGGGUAGCAGUCCGCUUUUGUUACAGCAUUAACUUUCCGAUAAUCUGUACAAAACCUAUACGAGCCAUCCGGCUUCCCAAUUAGCAAGCAUGGGCUAGACCAGCUAGAAAAACUGGGCUGCGCAAUGUUAUUUUCAAGCAUAUACUUCAAUUCUUUAAGCCUUGCUUCACCCACAUCAAUAUCAUGCUCCACAAGCGUAGUUCGAGAAGGAAUAUCCGGAAAGAGAGAUAGAUGAGACUUAAUCAAACAGACAAGGUCAGACUGUUUGGAACUGGUCAAAUGCGAAAACUGUGUUUCAAGGUUCCCAAGGAACUGGGAAUUAUUUAACCUACCCCUAAAUACCUCCUCAGCUGGCACUACUUCAUCUUCCCCUGCGUCUACCACCCACGGAGGCUGAGAAGGGAGGUCAGCCGUGGAGCUGGCAAAUGCAGGAGGAUCAGAGGGGUUCAGCACCGAGGACAAGGCUACAGGCUUAACAGGGACAGAUAAGGAAGCCUCAGCAUUCGGCCCGGCUGACAACGGCUCGGAAGGGCGAGCAUAAUACGGCUUCAGCAUGUUAAUAUGGCACAGUUGAACAUGCUUUUUCCUAUCCGGAGUGUUAAUCAAAUAGUUUAGGUCUGAAACCUUCUGCUCCACAACGUAAGGUCCACUAAACCUAGCCUGUAAGGCUGAACCAAGAAUGGGCAGCAAUGCCAAGACUUUAUCUCCAGGAUCAAAGUGGCGGACUUUAGCCUUCUGAUCGAACCAACCCUUCAUUCUCUUCUGUGAGCUUUCUAGGUUUUUCUUAGCCAAUGCACACGCCCUAUACAACCGAAGGCGAAAAUCAUUCACGUAGCUCAAAAGGUUAGCCGGAGGCGUUUCUGGAAGCCACUGAUCUCUAAUCAGCCCAAGGGGGCCUCUAACUUGGUGUCCAAACACCAAUUCAGUAGGACUAAAACCUGUGCUUUCCUGGGACACCUCACGGGCAGCCAUAAGCAACCAGGGGAGUCCCUCCUCCCAAUCUUUCUCCAGCUCAUGGCAGUACGCACGUAGCAUAGACUUCAAGGUUUGAUGGAAGCGUUCGAGGGCGCCCUGGCUUUCCGCGUGAUAGGCACUAGAUACGUUGUGCUUUAUUCUGAGCUGCCGAAGAACUUGGGCGAAAACACGGGACAUAAAAUUGGUUCCCUGGUCUGUCUGAACCACUUUGGGAAUGCCAAAAACUGUUAUAAACUUGGUCAGAGUUUUCAAAACGGCUUUAGCCGUAAUCGUACGCAACGGCACAGCCUCCGGAUAGUGUGUAGCUUGGCACAUCAUAGUGAGCAAAUACGUGUUUCCAGCUUUGGACCGAGGAAGCGGGCCAACACAAUCAACAAUAAGAUGUUCGAACGGUUCACCAAUUACGGGGAUCGGAAACAACGGCGCAGGUGGAAUGAUUUUAUUAGGUUUACCAGUGAGCUGGCAAACAUGACAAGUUUUACAAUACUGCACUACAUCCGUUUUCAAUCCCACCCAGAAAAACUGGCGAAGAACACGAUCGUAUGUUUUAUUUACUCCUAAAUGUCCAGCUAUACCAUCAUGGGAGACACUCAAAAUCUGCUGCCUGUAAGGCGAGGGAAUAACUACCUGAUAUCCUAAUUCUACAGUGACGAAGUACAUGUAGGCUACAUAGUUACCACCACCACUGUAGUCUACCCAAACUGAAAGCAAAACUAAAA